RNAcentral lists this ribosomal RNA (609 nucleotides) under Triticum aestivum (bread wheat). RNAcentral describes it as "partial small subunit ribosomal RNA". Lineage: Eukaryota; Viridiplantae; Streptophyta; Magnoliopsida; Poales; Poaceae. The record is from RNAcentral.
AUGGCUCAGCUGCAGUCCAAGGCGGCCGAGGCGACGAGGUUCGCGGCCAAGCACGGGGGUGCGCUGCAGUCCGAGGCGGCAAGCUUCGCGGCCAAGCACGGGGCCACUCUGCAGUCCAAGGCGUCCGAGGCGGCAAGCAUUGCGGCCAAGCAUGGGGCGACGCUGCAGUCCAAGGCGUCCGAGGCGGCAAGCUUCGCGGCCAAGCACGGGGGCGCGCUGCAGUCCAAGGCGUCCGAGGCGGCGAGCUUCGCGGCCAAGCAAGGGAGCGCGAUGCAGUCCAAGGCGGCCGAGGCGGCGAGCUCCGCGGCCAAGCAAGGGCGCGAGUACCACAGGACGCUCAUGGAGAGGAACAAGCAGUACGUCGUCGACCCGCCCACCGUCGAAAAGUGCCAGGAGCUCUCCAAGCAGCUCUUCUACACCCGCCUCGCCAGCAUUCCUGGCCGUUACGAGGCUUUCUGGAAAGAGGUUGAUGCUGUAAAGCUCUUGCUGAAAAACAGAAAGGACCUGAAGGCUGAGCAUGCCGGGGUUGCCGCAUUGUUUGGCAUUGAGUUGUAUGCAUGGCUUCGUGCCGGUGAGUUUAUUGGUAGAGGAUUUACCCUCACAGGUUGA